GAUGAACGCUGGCGGCGUGCCUAAUACAUGCAAGUCGAGCGAACGGACGAGAAGCUUGCUUCUCUGAUGUUAGCGGCGGACGGGUGAGUAACACGUGGAUAACCUACCUAUAAGACUGGGAUAACUUCGGGAAACCGGAGCUAAUACCGGAUGAUAUUUUGAACCGCAUGGUUCAAAAGUGAAAGACGGUCUUGCUGUCACUUAUAGCUGGAUCCGCGCUGCAUUAGCUAGUUGGUAAGGUAACGGCUUACCAAGGCAACGAUGCAUAGCCGACCUGAGAGGGUGAUCGGGCACAAUGGAACUUAGACACGGUCCCGACUCCUACGGGAGGCAGCAGUUGGGAAUCUUCCGCAAUGGGCGGAAGCCUGACGGCGCAAAGCCGCGUGAGUGAUGAAGGUCUUCGGAUCGUAAAACUCUGUUAUUAGGGAAGAACAUAUGUGUAAGUAACUGUGCACAUCUUGACGGUACCUAAUCAGAAAGCCACGGCUAACUACGUG
Molecule: ribosomal RNA, 497 nt
Filed under: uncultured bacterium
Lineage: Bacteria
Description: partial 16S ribosomal RNA
Rfam family: Bacterial small subunit ribosomal RNA
Source: RNAcentral